This 427-nucleotide ribosomal RNA is filed under the name uncultured bacterium. Its description in RNAcentral is "bacterial SSU rRNA". It matches the Rfam family "Bacterial small subunit ribosomal RNA", at positions 355 to 774 of the family's 1533-position model. The record is from RNAcentral.
UGGGGAAUUUUGGACAAUGGGGGCAACCCUGAUCCAGCCAUCCCGCGUGUGCGAUGAAGGCCUUCGGGUUGUAAAGCACUUUUGGCAGGGAAGAAACAGCCUGGGCUAAUAUCCCGGGCGACUGACGGUACCUGCAGAAUAAGCACCGGCUAACUACGUGCCAGCAGCCGCGGUAAUACGUAGGGUGCAAGCGUUAAUCGGAAUUACUGGGCGUAAAGCGUGCGCAGGCGGUUCGGAAAGAAAGGUGUGAAAUCCCAGGGCUUAACCUUGGAACUGCACGUUUAACUACCGGGCUAGAGUACGUCAGAGGGGGGUAGAAUUCCACGUGUCGCAGUUAAAUGCGUAGAGAUGUGGAGGAAUACCGAUGGCGAAGGCAGCCCCCUGGGAUGAUACUGACGCUCAUGCACGAAAGCGUGGGGAGCAAACA